This 468-nucleotide ribosomal RNA is filed under the name uncultured bacterium. RNAcentral describes it as "partial 16S ribosomal RNA". It matches the Rfam family "Bacterial small subunit ribosomal RNA", at positions 28 to 507 of the family's 1533-position model. The record is from RNAcentral.
GACGAACGCUGGCGGCGUGCUUAACACAUGCAAGUCGAACGGAAAGGCCCUGCUUUUGUGGGGUGCUCGAGUGGCGAACGGGUGAGUAACACGUGAGUAACCUGCCCUUGACUUUGGGAUAACUUCAGGAAACUGGGGCUAAUACCGGAUAGGAGCUCCUGCUGCAUGGUGGGGGUUGGAAAGUUUCGGCGGUUGGAGAUGGACUCGCGGCUUAUCAGCUUGUUGGUGGGGUAGUGGCUUACCAAGGCUUUGACGGGUAGCCGGCCUGGGAGGGUGACCGGCCACAUUGGGACUGAGAUACGGCCCAGACUCCGACGGGAGGCAGCAGUGGGGAAUAUUGCACAAUGGGCGGAAGCCUGAUGCAGCAACGCCGCGUGCGGGAUGACGGCCUUCGGGUUGUAAACCGCUUUCGCCUGUGACGAAGCGUGAGUGACGGUAAUGGGUAAAGAAGCACCGGCUAACUACGUG